UACGGGGGGAGCAAGCGUUGUUCGGAUUUACUGGGCGUAAAGGGCGCGUAGGCGGUCGUGACAAGUCACUUGUGAAAUCUCCGGGCUUAACUCGGAACGGUCAAGUGAUACUGUCGGACUAGAGUACAGAAGGGGCAACUGGAAUUCUCGGUGUAGCGGUGAAAUGCGUAGAUAUCAGGAGGAACACCAGCGGCGAAGGCGGCGCUCUGGGCCGGUACUGACACUGAGGAGCGAAAGCGUGGGUAGCAAACAGG
RNAcentral lists this ribosomal RNA (254 nucleotides) under uncultured bacterium. RNAcentral's name for it is "partial 16S ribosomal RNA". It matches the Rfam family "Bacterial small subunit ribosomal RNA", at positions 524 to 776 of the family's 1533-position model. The record is from RNAcentral.